CUGCAGCCUCAUUGUGUACCUGGGUGAGAAAGUGGAGGACCUUUUUGAAGAUUGCCAGGAGGACUGCCGCAGUGAUGCCAGGCAACAUGUCCUCAAAAUCCUGGUGGUUCAUGGUGCAGAGGAUCCAGCUGAUGUGGCCAUCGUUGUUGAAGGAAAGGAGAUGAUCGAAGGAUGUGGAUGCACCGCAAAAGCGUGCGCAUUGCUUAUGGGACUCAUUUAUGCCCUCAACCUUGCAUAUCCGCCAGCACUUCAAUACACUUUUGAAGUUUUCCAAAAACUUUUCUUGGAUUUGGAUGGCAUUAAGCUGUCCCCAAAAAUACAAGCUUUAAAGUUGAAAUUGCUGGCUUAAAUGCUUUCACCAGAUCACCAUCUCAACCAGUUGUUGGAAGUUUUUGUCAAAUGCUUUUGGCUUCCCGUUAAGUUGUGUUAUGUGUUGUGUUGUGUAUGUUGUGUGUUUGUCUUUGAGAGCAAGAUAAUAUUGACACAACCACAUCUUUGCAAAAUUUGCCGACAAAUUGAGUGUUUUAUCUUUGAUAUGUUGUAAUACUUGGAGACAAAAACAUUGGGUAGGAGUGGCAUUGAUUGUUAAUUUUACUAAUGGUAAAACAUACUGUCCUUUUAGGAUUCUGGUUUUGUUAGCUCUGUCGCUGUAAAACUUCACCUCCUGUCUCCCUUGUGAUAUUCUCAUUUAUAUUUUAUGCCUUAAACAUGGGUUAAACAUUUUGACAGGCAGUAUGUAUGGUCACCAGUGAUAUUUUAGUUAUU
Alosa sapidissima (American shad) is the source of this 765-nucleotide long non-coding RNA. RefSeq lists it as uncharacterized. The transcript is spliced from 2 exons. The record is from RefSeq and is a predicted model, not a curated record. NCBI's taxonomy places the organism in Eukaryota, Metazoa, Chordata, Actinopteri, Clupeiformes, Clupeidae.